GUUUCCCGCUUUUCCAUCACUUCCGGUCUCGAAGGGGCGGUUGCGGCGGGGCUCCGCGGGCCCGGGAUCCAGCGGCUGCCAUGAACUUCUCGGAGGUGUUCAAGCUCUCCAACCUGCUCUGCAAGUUCUCCCCCGACGGCAAGUACCUGGCCUCCUGCGUCCAGUACCGGUUGGUGGUUCGAGAUGCCAGCACCCUUCAGAUCCUCCAGCUGUACACGUGCCUGGACCAGAUCCAGCACAUCGAGUGGUCGGCCGACUCGCUCUUCAUCCUGUGCGCCCUCUACAGGCGGGGGCUGGUGCAGGUGUGGUCUUUGGAGCAGCCAGACUGGCACUGCAAAAUAGAUGAGGGCUCUGCAGGGCUGGUGGCUUCCUGCUGGAGCCCAGACGGGCGGCACAUCCUCAACACAACAGAGUUCCACCUGCGGAUAACUGUCUGGUCCUUAUGCACGAAGUCUGUGUCCUACAUCAAAUACCCUAAAGCUUGUCAGCAGGGAAUAACCUUUACCAGGGACGGCCGCUACCUGGCCUUGGCGGAGAGACGGGACUGCAGGGACCACGUGAGCAUCUUUGUCUGCAGCGACUGGCAGCUCCUGCGGCACUUUGAGACGGACACACAGGACCUGGCAGGGAUCGAGUGGGCCCCCAACGGCUGCGUGCUGGCGGCCUGGGACACCUGCCUGGAGUACAAGAUCCUGCUCUACUCCCUGGACGGCCGGCUGCUGUCCACCUACUGCGCCUACGAGUGGUCCCUGGGCAUCAAGUCGGUGGCUUGGAGCCCCAGCAGUCAGUUCCUGGCAGUCGGGAGCUACGACGGAAAGGUGCGCGUUCUCAACCACGUGACGUGGAAGCUGCUCGCAGAGCUGGGGCAUCCUGCGGCUGUCAGCAGCCCCAGCACAGUGGUGUACAGGGAGGCAGAGAAGAGCCCGCCACUGGCGCUGGGCCGCCUGGCCUUCCCUCCACCCAGAGCCCCGGCCGGUCCCCGGGCCACCACAGAGAGCAAAUAUGAGAUCGCCACGGUGCCGGCCUCCCUCCGGACUCUGAAACCCACGGCAGACAGAGCCAACCCGAGGAUGGGCAUCGGGGCCCUGGCCUUCAGUCUGGACAACUACUUCCUGGCCACGAGGAGCGGUCAGUGGCCCGUCCCACGGGUGUCGUGUUUCCUCCAGGCCCAGGCUGAGAUUCAGACAGUCUGAAAGGAAAGUCAGCUCGGGGCCUCCCACCUGUGGCUUCCGCCCGUCCUGCCCACGGAGCAGCCGCCUGUGUGUCUGGUGAUGAGCAGGGCCCCGGGCUGACAGGCGUACAGCAUCCCAAGCGCCGUCUGGAUCUGGGACGUCCGGAAGCUGAGGCUCUUCGUGGUGCUGGAGCAGCUGUCGGCUGUGCGGUCCUUCCGGUGGGACCCGCGGCAGCCCCGGCUGGCCAUCUGCACAGGGGGCAGCCAGGUGUACCUGUGGUCGCCGGCGGGCUGCGUGUCAGUGCAGGUGCCCGGAGAAGGCGACUUUCAGGUGCUCUCCCUGUGCUGGCACCCGAGCGGGGACUCCCUGGCUCUCCUCAGCAAGGACCACUUCUGCCUGUGCUUCCUGGAGGCCGAGGAAGGGGUCGGCACAGCCCUUGGGCAGCAGGACGACCACACAUAGAGCCUGGGCGUGAAUGGGCCCUGUAGCUCCUGUCGGCCACGGGAAAGGAACGGAGCUUCUGGGGCAAGUUCCCCUCCCAGACAGGCCAGAGGAAAUGGUUUGCUUUUAUUUUUCUAGAGCAAGGCAUUUUUGUAAAUAGGUGUGGCAUGCAACUGUAAUUUUUGUUAUUUAAAGUAAAUAUUUGCCAAUUCAUACAA
This is an RNA transcript of Sus scrofa (pig), 1831 nucleotides long. It is a transcript of the gene named WD repeat containing, antisense to TP73, with no coding region annotated. Lineage: Eukaryota; Metazoa; Chordata; Mammalia; Artiodactyla; Suidae. The record is from RefSeq and is marked validated.